This 253-nucleotide ribosomal RNA is filed under the name uncultured bacterium. Its description in RNAcentral is "partial 16S ribosomal RNA". It matches the Rfam family "Bacterial small subunit ribosomal RNA", at positions 524 to 776 of the family's 1533-position model. The record is from RNAcentral.
UACGAAGGGGGCUAGCGUUGCUCGGAAUCACUGGGCGUAAAGCGCACGUAGGCGGCUUCUUAAGUCAGGGGUGAAAUCCUGGAGCUCAACUCCAGAACUGCCUUUGAUACUGAGGAGCUUGAGUCCGGAAGAGGAGAGUGGAAUUCCUGGUGUAGCGGUGAAAUGCGCAGAUAUCAGGAAGAACACCCGUGGCUAAGGCGGCUCUCUAGUACGGUACUGACGCUGAGACGCGAAAGCGUGGGGAGCGAACAGG